RNAcentral lists this ribosomal RNA (649 nucleotides) under uncultured bacterium. RNAcentral describes it as "bacterial SSU rRNA". It matches the Rfam family "Bacterial small subunit ribosomal RNA", at positions 43 to 737 of the family's 1533-position model. The record is from RNAcentral.
CAGGCCUAACACAUGCAAGUCGAACGAAGAAGCAAUACUUAGUGGCAGACGGGUGAGUAACAUGUAGGUAUCUGCCCUUUGGCCUGGAAUAACACGAGGAAACUUGUGCUAAUACCGGAUAAGUCUUUACGGAGAAAGCUUUAUGCACCAUUGGAUGAGCCUGCACUUGAUUAGUUUGUUGGUGGGGUAAUGGCCUACCAAGACUGUGAUCAAUAGCUGAUUUGAGAGGAUGAUCAGCCACAUUGGGACUGAGACACGGCCCAAACUCCUACGGGAGGCAGCAGUGGGGAAUCUUGCACAAUGGAGGAAACUCUGAUGCAGCGAUGCCGCGUGAGUGAAGAAGGCCUUUGGGUUGUAAAGCUCUUUCGUCGGGGAAGAAAAUGACUGUACCCGAAUAAGAAUGUCCGGCUAACUUCGUGCCAGCAGCCGCGGUAAUACGAAGGGACCUAGCGUAGUUCGGAAUUACUGGGCUUAAAGAGUUCGUAGGUGGUUGAAAAAGUUGGUGGUGAAAUCCCAGAGCUUAACUCUGGAACUGCCAUCAAAACUUUUCAGCUAGAGUAUGAUAGAGGAAAGCAGAAUUUCUAGUGUAGAGGUGAAAUUCGUAGAUAUUAGAAAGAAUACCGAUUGCGAAGGCAGCUUUCUGGAUCAU